RNAcentral lists this ribosomal RNA (464 nucleotides) under rape rhizosphere bacterium tsb064. RNAcentral's name for it is "bacterial SSU rRNA". It matches the Rfam family "Bacterial small subunit ribosomal RNA", at positions 27 to 478 of the family's 1533-position model. The record is from RNAcentral.
GAGUGAACGCUUGCGGUAGGCCUAACACAUGCAAGUCGAACGGCAGCACAGUAAGAGCUUGCUCUUAUGGGUGGCGANUGGCGGACGGGUGAGGAAUACAUCGGAAUCUACCUUUUCGUGGGGGAUAACGUAGGGAAACUUACGCUAAUACCGCAUACGACCUUCGGGUGAAAGCAGGGGACCUUCGGGCCUUGCGCGGAUAGAUGAGCCGAUGUCGGAUUAGCUAGUUGGCGGGGUAAAGGCCCACCAAGGCGACGAUCCGUAGCUGGUCUGAGAGGAUGAUCAGCCACACUGGAACUGAGACACGGUCCAGACUCCUACGGGAGGCAGCAGUGGGGAAUAUUGGACAAUGGGCGCAAGCCUGAUCCAGCCAUACCGCGUGGGUGAAGAAGGCCUUCGGGUUGUAAAGCCCUUUUGUUGGGAAAGAAAAGCAGUCGGCUAAUACCCGGUUGUUCUGACGGUAC